AGGAGCUAUAGCCCUCGUUAUCGCUCUCCAAGGCGCUGUACUCCUUCACCGGCUCGUGGACGCAGCUAUAGCAGGUCGCCAUAGUACAACUGUGACAAAUAUGCAUCUCCCUCGUUAACGGAGUAAUGAUGGCAGAUACUGGUGUAGCAGGAGCUUGGCCUGAAGCCCGUGCCUGAUUCUUCUCUGUGUGAGGACUUGGUUCUUGGUUUGGCUGUGGGGAACAAAUUUGGAACUGUCGUCAACUGCAUGACUUCAGUUCAGGUUUAAAACCUUAUCUAGCUUAUUGUGAUUGUCUUGAUUAUGCCAUUAAAGAACUUUUAAGAUUUGUGUAUUAUGCCACUAAGACAUAUUACCUUCUGUGUUAAAAAUGCAUGUUCUGCUUAAACGACUCGGCCAACUAUGGCUCUCAGUUGUAGUCUUCAUGGUUUUGUUCCUCCAUUCUUGGCACGUCCUUAUCUGCAAAUGAAUGUCAACCUUCCAUUACUAUCUGCCUGCGAUGUUUCAUCAUGAAA
Molecule: long non-coding RNA, 512 nt
Organism: Zea mays
Lineage: Eukaryota; Viridiplantae; Streptophyta; Magnoliopsida; Poales; Poaceae
Exons: 2
Source: RefSeq, a predicted model, not a curated record